UAGUCCACGCCCUAAACGAUGGAUACUAGACGUCUGUUCUCCUAAUCGAAUAGGUGUCGUAGCUAACGCAUUAAGUAUCCCGCCUGGGAAGUACGGUCGCAAGAUUAAAACUCAAUGGAAUUGACGGGGGCCCGCACAAGCGGUGGAGCAUGUGGUUUAAUUCGAUGAUACGCGAGGAACCUUACCAGGGCUUAAAUGUACAUUGCAUAGCGUAGAGAUAUGCUUUUCUUCGGACUAUGUACAAGGUGCUGCAUGGUUGUCGUCAGCUCGUGCCGUGAGGUGUCAGGUUAAGUCCUAUAACGAGCGCAACCCCUACCGUUAGUUGCCAGCAUGUAAUGAUGGGGACUCUAACGGGACUGCCGGUGCAAACCGUGAGGAAGGUGGGGACGACGUCAAAUCAUCACGGCCCUUACGUCCUGGGCCACACACGUGCUACAAUGGCCGGUACAGAGGGAAGCCACCACGUAAGUGGGCGCGGAUCUAUAAAACCGGUCACAGUUCGGAUCGGGGUCUG
Molecule: ribosomal RNA, 514 nt
Filed under: uncultured bacterium
Lineage: Bacteria
Description: bacterial SSU rRNA
Rfam family: Bacterial small subunit ribosomal RNA
Source: RNAcentral